ACCGUGGGAAUCUAGAGCUAAUACAUGCACCGUUACAACUUUGUUGUGUGUACAAGAGGUUAUUCUCUUGCAACUGCAGCAAAGUUAGCAUUUAUUAGUCUAAACCAACUAUUAUAAUACUUACGGGUGUUAUAGUGUGGCUGAAUCUAGAUAACUUUGCUGAUCGUAGUGGCCAUUGAGCCGGCGACAUUUCAGUUGAAUUUCUGCUCUAUCAAUUAGUUGGUAAGGUCGGGGCCUACCAAGGUUGUUACGGGUAACGGGGGAUCAGGGUUCGAUUCCGGAGAGGGAGCCUGAGAAACGGCUACCACAUCCAAGGAAGGCAGCAGGCGCGCAAAUUACCCAAUCCAGAUACUGGGAGGUGGUAACAAGAAUUACCAAGUGAUGGCCCUACGGGUUAUCGAUUUGGAAUGAACGUGAUUUAAGCAAUCCGUUGAGUAACAACUGGAGGGCAAGUCUGGUGCCAGCAGCCGCGGUAAUUCCAGCUCCAGUAGCGUACUUCAAAGUUGCUGCGUUUAAAACGCUCGUAGUUGGAUUACGUAGUUGAAUUGAGUUAAUUAGCAGAUUGGUACGUUAAAACCUUUUAUAUAAAUGUGCUCAUGUUCUAUCAUGAGUGCACUUUAUGUAGGACGGUGUACCACCUGUUGAUUGAUGGCUCAGUUCAAUUUAUUGCAUAUGAGGAUGGUGAUUGACCUUUAGUGUGUUGAUUAUUGUGUCUCAUAGAGUGUGCCUUGAAUAAAUCAGAGUGCUCAAAGCAGGCAGUAUGCUUGAAUGUUUGCAGCAUGGAACGAACAAUUGUGGAAAAGUGAUAUUAUUAUGUUAUGUGUAGGCCUAGUGUUGAAACAUAAUGUAAUGGUAUCAUAACCCCAACCACCAAUAUCGGAGUUGGUUCCGUAUUGGGGUGAUGAUUAAGAGGAGCAGUUGGGGGCAUUGGUAUUUUGCCGCGAGAGGUGAAAUUCUUGGACCGGCAAAGGACUAACAAAUGCGAAGGCAUUUGCCUAGACUGUAUCCAUUAAUCAAGAACGAUAGUGGGAGGUUCGAAGACGAUCAGAUACCGUCCUAGUUCCCACUGUAAACUAUGCCGACUCGGGAUCAGUUUGUUAGCAAUUCAAACGCUCGAAGUUGGUCCCCCUGGGAAACCUGAAGUUUUUCGGUUACGGGGGGAGUAUGGUCGCAAGGCUGAAACUUAAAGGAAUUGACGGAAGGGCACCACCAGGGGUGGAGCCUGCGGCUUAAUUUGACUCAACACGGGGAAACUCACCUGGUCCGGACAUUGAAAGGAUAAUCAGAUUGGAGAUCUUAUUUGAUACGAUGAUUGGUGGUGCAUGGCCGUUCUUAGUUCGUGGAGUGAUCUGUCAGGCUUAUCCCGGUAACGAACGAGAUCACAAUCUUCAUUUGAGAAGCAGCAGUAUUUGUCAGAUUCAGUUAUGUAUGCUUCACAGUGUAUUUACUUGAGUUUGAUAAGCAGGUAGUGUGAAUAUGUAGCUAUUGCAAGUAUGUAUGUGUGAGGGGCAACCCAAUCAUGUGCAUAUGCGGGGUAGUUAUUAUAUCUGCACUCCCUGUUGCCAAGCAGUGUGUGACUCCAUUGUUGCACACUGUCUCAUGAAGAGACAACUGUGAAUAUAAA
This 1624-nucleotide ribosomal RNA is filed under the name Myxobolus nagaraensis. RNAcentral's name for it is "SSU rRNA". It matches the Rfam family "Eukaryotic small subunit ribosomal RNA", at positions 146 to 1434 of the family's 1831-position model. Lineage: Eukaryota; Metazoa; Cnidaria; Myxozoa; Bivalvulida; Myxobolidae. The record is from RNAcentral.